Molecule: long non-coding RNA, 3072 nt
Organism: Mustela lutreola (European mink)
Lineage: Eukaryota; Metazoa; Chordata; Mammalia; Carnivora; Mustelidae
Exons: 5
Source: RefSeq, a predicted model, not a curated record
AUCAACACUCCACUGAGACAAUGGCCAGACCUCCAGAAGUCAUGUCUAGCUCGGACUGCCCACAAGUGCAGUUUUCAAAAAUGCUUGGGGCCUCUUUUCCCCAUAUUCUCACACUGGGGUUCAGACAUCUGGCUCUUUUCCUCAAAACUGGCCUAUCCAGCCAGUCGUCCUUUGAGACUUCCGGCCGCAGAGGCCAUCAACUCCUACUGGAAGUUUUCCUGUGGUCCUUCCGAUCAGACUUUCUUAUAUUUCUUUGAAGUCAACAAAUAUUGGUUGAGCAUCUGUUAUGGGUUAGGGAUGGAGCUACAGGUAAGGGCUGGUUCAAAAACGAGACACACUGCUUGUCUUUUAGGAGCUCACAGUCCAGGGAAAGGGACAGUCAGGAAACCAGGAAACCAGGCAACCACCAUAUAUAUACAAAGGGAUGGCUCUAAGGUGCUCUCUUCUGUGUGUCAGAUGAGGACUCCCUUCACAUUUGGCUGUCAUCUAUCAGCCACAACCGUCCUGUCCCAAAGAGCUGGCUUUGGCUUUAAAGCCUGCUUCCUGGCUGGGCUUCUCCACCACUCCAUUAAGGAUACCAUUUGAUAUCACAUGUGCUACAGGUGCUGUUGAUGAAAGUGCUAAAGGAGCUGGAUGGGACUGACGUCUUUGGGAAGGGUAAGACUCAGCGUGCGCAUGCAGCUGUCCUGUCCAAGUGCUGUUCUUACCUCCCAAUGGAAAGCUGAACAAGGGCCAUGCUUGGGACAACACCAGCAGAGCCUUCCAGCAGACAGGCCAGGGAAGAAGCCAGGGUCAGCGAGUGAAGAGGAGAGCAGCGCCAUUUAAAGCAACACGGUUUAUUAAUAACGGAAACUACAUGAUAUUUGGCAGCCCCAAAGGAAUCACAUGUCUGAUGCAGUGGAAGGACAGUGCCCUAAAAGAAAGGGUGGCAUGCUGGACAGCCAAAAGAACAAACGUCCACUACACGUAAUGUGAGCACCAGAUUUGGAUGCGAUCCAUCUCUGUACAAGACUGGCGGCAAUUCACACCGAUCAUCUCUACAGCCAAGGUGAGGCUUGAAUUCACAGCCCUGAGAUGAAGAGUAGCUUGCUUCACGGUCAGGUACCCUUUCUGCAGGCAUUUCUUCUGAUGCAUACAAGGAAUUCCAAGAUAAGGAGAAGGGUGUGUAAAGGAAAGACCAUCAAAGACCUGGUUAAAAAGGCAUCAAGAGAUGAGGCUCCAGUCUUUUCUCGCUCACUGACCCUGUGACUUCUGUGAAAAUGAGAAUUAAAAAACCUACAUACUGGAGUAGCGGCAAAUACUCAAAUAGGAACCCAGCAGAAGAGUGGCAUCAUUUGGGAACUUGCUUGAAAUGGAAAUUCUCCAUCCCACCCCAGACUCACUUAAUCAGAAGCGGGGCUGGCGGGAACAGCAAUAAAUACUUUAAUAAGCACUCCAACUAUUUCUGAUGCUUGCUAAAAUCUGAGAACCACUGGGCUCGAACAUCCCCUGGUGCACAAACUUUUAUUUGUUCUUAAGUCUUGAAGAUAAUGAGCAUGUUGUCUUGUAUCUCCAAGAGCUCACAAAGCAGGGAAACAAAAAGUCCCACAUUAAAUUCUUUAAUACAGGACCAUACUGAGUGAUAAGUGAUCGAAUACAAGCUGAAUGUGCUUUGAAAGCUUAUAAGGGGUUGAAUUUAUUUCUAACAAGGUGAAUAUCAGAAGGCUUUAUAGAUAAAAAAUGUUAAAAGGGUAAAAUAGGUAUAAACUGUAAAGUAACGCAGGUAAUUAAACUUCUAGGGAUUACUGCAAAGCUGUAUCUACAAAGUUAACUUAAAAUAUACUCCUGGGUGGCUCAGUUGAUUAAGCAUCUGACUCUUAAUCUCAGCUCAGGCCUUGCUCUCAGGAUCAUGAGUUCAAGCCUUGAGUUAAAAAAUAAUAGUUAGGGGCACCUGGGUGGCUCAGUGGGUUAAAGCCUCUGCCUUCUGCUCAGGUCAUGAUCUCAGGGUCCUGGGAUCAAGCCCCGUAUUGGGCUCUCUCUCUGCCUGUUCCUCUGCCUACUUGUAAUCUCUGUCAAAUAAAUAAAAUCUUUAAAAAAUAAUAAUUAUAUAUAUAUAUAUAUAUGUAUUAAACUGAUUAGAUACCUCAUAUUGCAUAUAAAUAAAAACCCAUCAGAAGUCAGAAGAGGAGGAUUUUAGUCCUUAUGUUACAUUUACCAGCUGUCGCUCAAUGUUCUCGUUCAUUAAAAAAAAGAUUGGUCUGGAACCCUGGUUCUUAAUCAAGGGAAAAGAAGGUGGGCCCAAGGCAUAUGUAGACUCAAAGCUUCCACAGGGGAGUGUGGGCACAGCCUGGUUAAAAAGCACUAAUUAUCUCUAAUCUCUGACUGUAGAUUAUCAAAUGUAAAGUUAAAGCAUUAAGGAAGCAUGUAAACAUUAUUUUAAAUCCGUAAACCAAUCUCUGCUUUUGUUUUCUCUUUCUCUUUUUUCUUUUUCUUUGCUUAACCUCUCUGAAAGUGCUCCAGUACCAGAACACCCAAUUAAUCAAAGGGAAACAUCUGUAAUAUGUAGCAACUAAAAUAUCACCUUCCUUGUGUGGAUCACAAAGUCCUUGGCAAUCACCUCCAUACUAGACUAGUGAGUAUUGUUGUUCUCAUUUUCCAGAUGGAUAAACAGAGGAUAAAGGCCUUGUUCAGUGUCACACACUUCUGUCACCAACUGAGACACAAUGGAUGUCAGUCUUCUCAUUCCUUCAACAAUAAAGAGCUUUCAAGCGCUUACAGUCAACAAGAACUUGGAAAGAUUACACUGGCUGAAAGGCAUAUACAUGGAGGACAUCCACAAAUAGGAGGAAAUUAACUUGAAGCUGAGUGUCUAACUUCACUGACUCUCAGUGGCAGAGAUAGAAGAAAAGCAAAGUUUUAGCAAGGAAGGGUCUGAAAGAAAAUAAAUUAAAUAUAGCUAAUUAUCAAGUACUGUUUAAUUAUCAAGUACUGUUUUUAGUAAGACAAGUGAAAAAUACUCUUUUUUAGGUGGUAAUUCCUAUCUCUUAAUGGAAUCAUCCAUUCAUUCAAUAAAUACUUAUUGAUUGCCUUUUA